RNAcentral lists this long non-coding RNA (8607 nucleotides) under Sus scrofa (pig). RNAcentral describes it as "lncRNA (ENSSSCG00015025618.1)". Lineage: Eukaryota; Metazoa; Chordata; Mammalia; Artiodactyla; Suidae. The record is from RNAcentral.
UUUUUUUUUUUUUUUUUUUUUUGUCUUGUUAGGGCUGCAGCAGAUGGAGGGUUCUAGAUCCUGGGUCGAAUCAGAGCUGCAGCUGCCGGUCUACACCACAGCCACAGUCACACGGGAUCCAGCCACAUCUGCGACCUACACCACCACUCACAGCAACGCUGGAUCCUUCACCUGAGGAGCGAGACCAAGGAUCGAACCCAUGUCCUCAUGGAUCCUAUUUGGAUUCAUUUCCCGCUGAGCCAUGAUGGGAAUUCCCACAUUCCCUUUUAGGAACUGCAUUUUCACUUUGUCAAUGUGUAUACAUGCAUAACGUCCUGCCCUAAACGUGGAGGUAAUUACAUGAACAGUUAUGACAUGAAAGUCUUGCUUCUUUGCCAAGACCUAUUUUUUUUUAAUCUUUGGGAUUGCAGAAAUAUCAAAUAAGAUAUGCAAUAUCCCUUUAUCCCUCGCUAUUUUAGGGCCGCACCCUCGGCAUAUGGAGGUUCCCAGGCUAGGGGUCAAAUCGGAGCUGCAGCUGCCGGUCUACCCCACAGCCACAGCAACACGGGAUCUGAGCCGCAUCUGCGACCUACACCACAGUUCACGGCAACACCAGAUCCUUCACCCACGGAGCGAGACCAAGGAUCAAACCCAUAUCCUCAUGGAUCCUAGUCAGCUUCAUUAACCACUGAGCCACAAAGGAACUCCUAUCCCCUUAUCUUUUCCUAGAUACCCCAACACUGGGGACUUCUCAGAAACACUGCACUUUCACUGCUUUAUAAGGCCGAGACCGUCAAGUAACAGUGUCUGACACACUUUCUUCUUGGGUUCGAAGGGAAAAGGCCCCGUAACAAAGCACGUAUCCACGCUGUGAGGAUGAAAGGGGUAGAAACACACCAUUUGAGGGCAUGUUUAAGAUCCAUGACUUUCCCAACCACGGACGGGGCAACCUGAAAUACCACCACCCCGGCACGACGUGUGGAUCAGCAUUCAGAGAGGCGUUCCCGUGUUCCUCCAGGGGUUAAGAAUCCGACGACAACAGCUCGGGUCCCAGCCCUGCACACGGGGUUCAAGAAUCUGGUGUUGCCACACCGGUGGCACAGGUUGCAGCCGCAACUGGAUGCAAUCUCUGGCCCCAGCGGGGGAGGGGAGGAAAAAAAAAAAACUAUUUCCCGUAUGCGCCUAAAUAUUAAGGAAUUGAACCGCUCAUUGCACCUAACAAGAAAUCACCUGAUAUGUUCUUCCCGUUUCAGAGAUUCAGAAAUAAGUCAUGGUUCCCUAAAAAGACCUGAGCUCCCACUGUGAAGGGUUUGCUCUACCUCGGAUGAGAUCUCGUGCUCACGGUGAGGGGCUGGUAGGAGCUUAUAAAAGUAAUUUUUUUUUUUUUUUUAAAGACUGCACCUGCGGCAUAUGGAAGUUCCCAGGCUAGGGGUCCAACUGGAGCUGCAGCUAGCUGCAGGUCUACACCACAGCCACAGCAACGCCGGAUCUGAGAUGCAUCUGCAACCUACACCAGAGCUCACAGCAACGUCGGAUCCUUAACCCACUGAGCAAGGCCAGGGAUCGAGCCCGUGUCCUCAUGGAUCCUAGCAGAGUUCUUAACCCACUGAGCCACCAUAGGAAUGCCUAUGGUGCCUAUGCCUUCUGGAGCUCCCACUGUGGAGCAAUGGGUCUUGGGAAGUGCUGGGAUGUGGGUUCGACCCCUGGCCUGGGACAGUGGGUUAAAGAUCCAGCGUUGCUGCAGCUGCAGCUUGGAUCUGAUCCCAGGCCUGUGGGCUCCAUAUGGAGCCAAAAAAAAAAAAAAAAAUCAAAUCAACUCUAUCUGGUACCCUGACGAGUACUACGAACCUCAGGAUAAUCUUUGAGGACGCCCCGUCUCUUACAUCCACAGAGUCCCCAUUUUUUUUAAAAAACUGGCUGCACCCAUGGCAUGUGUAAGUUCUGGGGCCAGGAAUCGAACCCAACCCACGCUGCCACUGCAACCUGCGGAAACCAGGGAUCCUUAAGCUGCUGUGCCACGUGGACACCACCCAGAUUCCAGACUGGACUGGAGACAUUUGCUAAGGGCAUCCAUAAAGAAGGUCCCCUCCUGCUCACCCACCUCUCCCGUCUGUUUACCUGGCAGUCCAGUGGCAGGAAACACCCCCCUUCCACCUGUCUUCUCUUACUUGUAUCCCCGCCCCCAUACAUAAGGAGGAAGGGAAGGAUGGACAGAUACACAGACAGACAGAAGCAGGGCUGGAUGGAGAGACACAAUCAGCACAGACGGCUCCGUCAGCCUAUUUCCCAAAGAGGAGCUAAAACCACAUCACGACCCACCUGACAACAACCCAGAAUCCCUGCCUGGACUUAAUCACAGCCCACACAUCGUCAGGACGGCCCCAACUCCUCCUUAAGACCUGUCAAGCUUCCUGCUGUGCUCUAUCUAGUCAUGCACGAUGGAGGAUAAUGUGAGAAAAAAGAGCGUGUGUAUAUAUAUAUAUAUGCAUGUGUGACUGGGUCACCUUGCUGUACAGGAGAAAAUUGACAGAACACUGUAAACCAGCUAUGAUGGAAAAAAAUAAAAAUCAUUAAAAAAAAUAAAUUGAAUCUCUAUAGGCAAUCCUCCCUCCCUAAAAAAAGAGAUUAAACACAGCCAUCACCUGGCUUCUGGCAUCCGCACCCUCACAGGUGAAGAUGCCCAGGAUCUGGACGCUACUAAACUCACCUCGCCUCUCAUCCCUGUCCCGCAAGUAACACUUUUCUUGAUACUUUUUGAAAUGAAUGUACAGUUGAUUUGCAAUGUUGUGUCCAUUUCUGCCCCACAGCACAGGGAGCCAGGCAUUUGCAGACACACAUGCCCUUUCUCACGCGAUCUUCCAUCUAUCCCAGGACACUGCACAGAGUUCCCUGCGCUGCACAGCAGGACCUCAUGGCUUCUCCGUUCUCAGGGUCCGGAUUUGCACCUACGGACCCCAAACUCCCCGUCCCCCCCUGGCAACCCCACGUCUGAUCUCUGUGGCUGGGGGUCUGUUUCUGUUCGGCAGACAGGUUCAUUGGUGCCCUAUUUUAGAUGCCACAUGGAAGUGAUAUCUUACGGUAUCUGUCUGACUGACGUCACUCAGUAUGAGAGGCUAAGUGCGUGUGUCCUUUUGCAUUAGAAAAUACUCUCCCCAAAUGACACGCGGCCACACCCACACAUGUGCACAAAGUACGAUGUAUGGUUUUGCUCUGAUGUAUGGUUUUGCUCUUCCUCGUCUCAACUAUGGAAAUUCGAAACUCCAUGGGGGGGCGAAGACGGGCUUUGAAAAGCAGCUGCCCUAAGUUAAAGAUUUGGCGGAGGAGUUCCCAUUGUGGCUCAGCAGGUUAAGGCCCUGACACCGUAUCCACCGGGCGAUGAGGGUUUGAUGCCUGGCCUCACUCCGUGGGUUAAGGAUCCAGCGUUGCCGUGAGCUGUGGUGUAGGUCUCGGAUGCAGCUCGGAUCUGGUCGCCGUGGCUGUGGUGUAGGCUGGCAGCGGCCGCUCCAAUUUGACCCCUCGCCUGGGAAUUUCCAUAUGCUGCAGGUGCAGCUAUAAACAGAAGGGGAAAAAAAUAUAUUUUUGGACCUUUAUAUGGAAGGAUAGUUGAAUUACACGUUGCCCUUGUUUCAGGCGUGCAACAAAGCGACUCUGUUAUACACACACAUAUCGAUUCCUCUGCAGAUUCUCUUCCCUCCUAGGUGAUGACGAUACAUUGAGUAUAGUUCCCUGCGCUGCCCGGUAGGUCCUUGUUCUCUGUCUGUUUUACAUACGAGACUGGGUAUCUGUUAAACGCAACCCCCUAACUUGUCUCCCAGCCACCCCAUCCUUCCUCCACUGUCUUCCGUCUUCCGUCAUUCUCACUUGAAGCGUCAAGGCCCCCUGUGCCUUGCCCACGAGCAUCCCGGAUGCUACCAAAGCAGAGCCAGGCACAGUCAAGGGCUCAGUGUGGGGAUGGAGAAGCCCAACCUUGCCCGAAAGGCAGGCGGAAGUUCAGGCAACAGGCCAGCCAGGGCGGAACACCGCCACAGGCGCAGAGAGUCCAGCAGGGACAGCGGCUCCUGUCCACGGGUCUCUGAGAGCCUGGGAGCAUUUCAACACAGGUUCCACCCCCUCACCCCCAGGGAGCAGGGCUCCCCUCCCCCACUCUACAACCCGGCCAGCCCCUGGGUUUCCAGGGAACACUCUUUGUCCUCACCCUUCCUCCUGCGCGGGAGGGAUGAAGAUACCAAGGUCACCCCAGGACGUUUGUGCUGAGAUCACCACUGGGACACGUCUGACAGAUCCAGACCGCGCUUUAACCCCAAGAGUGCCUGAGGAUCUGAGCCCCCCCACCUCCGCCGCCACCCCCCGAUGCAGCGAUUCUGCAAGAUGGGGACUCCAGGGCAGGUCUCAUUCACCCCUAACUCGCCAGGUGCUCCUGGAGCUAGGAAGAAAUUCCCAGACACCUCAGGGGAGGCUGGUCCCUGGUGGGUGGGCUCUGAGGGUCCCUUCCAAAGCCCUCCCAUCAUCAGUGGAACCCACACGGCCCAGUGUCGGCCGUCACCUCCCUGUACCUGCAACACUGGCUGCAAGCUCCCCUCCAUUCAAGGGACGCUAAGGUUUUUGUUUGUUUGUUUGUUUGGUCUUUUUUUUUUUGCCAUUUCUUGGGCCGCUUCCGCGGCAUAUGGAGGUUCCCAGGCUAGGGGUCCAACUGGAGCUGCAGCUGCCAGUCUACACCACAGCCACAGCAAUGCAGGAUCCGAGCCUCGUCUGCCAGCUACAUCACAGCUCACGGCAACGUCAGAUCCUUCACCCACUGAACGAGGCCAGGGAUCGAACCUGCAUCCUCAUGGGUACUAGUUGGAUUCGUUUCUGCUGAGCCACAGCAAGCACUCCUGCCUUGCAUUUCUGGACAGAGAAAACUUCCAACGGUGCGGAUGGUUCCCUGGGCACUGUGUUCACAACAGGGGGACGUGGUAGUCGCCAGAGAAGUUCCCUUUGAGCCUCAACCCGUGCAGUUCCUUCUUGCUGGGUGUCUACACCUACGUUAUUCCUGUGUCCCUGGAAAUGCACUGUGGUAUCAGUUUAACGCAACCUUGGAAAAGGUAGACUGUGAGCGUGUGUGUGCGUGUGUGUGUGUGUGUUUAUACUUUUCUGUUUCUGUGUGUGUUUCUGUGUUUGUGUGUAUUUCUCUGUGUGUAUGUUUGUGUGUGUGUGUGUAUUUCUGUGUGAGUUUCUGUGUUUGUGUGUCUGUGUUUCUGUGUGUGUUUUUGUGUGUAUUUCUAUUUCUGCCUUUGUGUAGGUAUAUUUCUGUGUGUAUGUGUAUUUCUCUAUGUGAGUUUCUGUGUGUGCAAGUGUAUUUCUGUGUGCUUGUGUACUUCUGUGUUUGUGCAGUGUAUAUUUCUCUGUGUGUGUUUCUGUGUUUGUGGGUGUGUGUAAUUCUGUGUGUUCCCGUGUGCAGGGUGUGCAGGUAGACAACUGUGUGCAGGCAGACUGACACAUGAAAGUCUCCGACCGUAUUCACGAUGGUGAGAGACUAGGAAUAAUACACACACACACACACACACACACACACAGUGACAGAUCUCGGAGAUAUUUCAGGUUCAGUUCCAGACCACUGCAAUAAGUCAACCGUCACAAUAAAACGCGCCAGAGAGAUUUUUUUGAUUUCCCAGUGCCUGUGAAAGUGAUGCUGAGGGAGUCCCUGUUGGCUCAGGGGGUUAAGGACCCAGCAUUGUCACUGCUGUGGCUCAGGUUUGAUCUCUGGCUAGGAGCUUCUGCAUACUCCAAGUGUGGCCAAAAAAAAAAAAAAAAACUGAUGUCCACUCUCCCCUGUAGUCUACUAAGUGUACAACACUUUAUGUCUAAAAGACAAGGCAGAGACCUUCAUUUUAAAAGGCUGUCUUGCUAAAAUAUGUGAACUGGAACUCCCGCUGCGGCUCAGUGGGUUAAGAAUCCGACAUACUGUCUGUGAGGAUGCAGGUUCAAUCCCUGGCCUUGUUCCAUGGGUUAAGCACCCAACAUUGCUGCGAGCUAUGCUGUUGAGGUUGCAGAUGCAUCUCAGAUCCGCUGUGGCUGUGGCUGUGGUAUAGACUUGCAGCGGCUGCUCUGCUGGGACUCCAUCUGGGAACUUCCAGAUGUCACAGGGGCGUCCGUAAAAAGAAAAACAAAUGAAUCAAUAAAUAACACAUGCUACCCAUCCUGAGCCUUCAGUGUGUUGUUGUCAUAGUUACGUGAAAGCUCCCGGAUCACAAAUACAGACACAUUUGAAAUACGGCGAGAAUUACAGGAAUGGGACCCAGAGCCACGCAGCGGACAGACGCUGUUGGAAAAACGGCCCCGACAGGCUUGCUCACGGAGGGUUACCACAAACCCUCCAUCACGGAAAAAUGCAAUUAGCAGCAAAGCGCAGGCAGGCAUGCUCCACCUGCAUACCUGUUCUCUAGGGAGUAAACCAUGAGUCUCCCGACAAGUUCUCAAGAAAGCCCGCUGGUCCCUUGACGAACUCAAUCGACCCCUCGGUGAGGAAGAUGUUUUGCUUUGAAAUCCUCACGUCACCUUUCCUUCGGACCGUACAGAAACAGCAGAGACACUAAGAGGGCUCCGUGCAGGAUCAGGCACCAGCGAUGCUUAGAAAAUAGGAGCUGGUUUUAAUGGCUUUCAGAAAACACCCGUUAUAUCUCUGGACUUUCAGUGCGAUUAGGGAAAGGUCUUUUGGGUGUGUCGUGUAUCUCAGGUGUCAAAUGAAUUGGGGGAGAGCCAAGAAUAUUAUUCAAAAGCUGUUUCGGGAGUUCCCCGUGUGGCUCAGUGGGUUAAGAACCCAACACUGUCUCCAUGAGAAUGCGGGUUCCAUCCCUGGUCUCACGGAGUGGGUGAAUGAUCCGGCGUUGCCGUGAGCUAUGGUGUGGGUCGCAGACAAGGCUUGGACCCCACGUCGCUGUGUCUGUGCCGUAGAUCGGCAGCUGCAGCUCCGAUUCCACCCCUGGUCUGGGAACGUCCAUAUGGCAUGCGUGUGGCCCUAAAAAAAAAAUUAAAAAGAUCCUGAGGUGCAGGCCCCCCCAGGAGGAUAGAAUUCUGAUGUCUGAUUUUGUUUACGUAUGUGAUUGUCAAGGUUCUGAAAGGUGGAAGCCAAACCCCUAGGGCUAUUUAAAGUCAAAAGACGUGAGCUUGAAUCAAAGAAAGAAGACGGGGAUGAUCCCGCAAUCUCACUCCUGGGCAUCUAUCUUUCCAAAGAUAACCUAAUUAGAAAAGAUCCACGCACCCCUAUGUUCACUGAAGCACUCUUCACCACAGCCAAGACACGGAAGCAACUUAAACAUCCACAGACAGAGGAACGGAUAAAGAAGAUGUGGUGCAUGUACACCAUGGAAUAUUACUCAGCCAUAAAAAAGGAAUGGAAUCAUGCCACGUGCAGCCACACGGGUGCAACUAGAGAUUCUUAUACAACAUGAAGUCCGUCAGAUAGCAAAAGACAAAAAGCGUAUGAUCUCACUUACACAUGGCAUCGAAACCACGGCACGGAGGAGCCUAACUAUAGAACGGAAACAGACUCAGACCAGGAGAACAGAGUGUGGUUGUCAAGGGCAGGGGGGCGGGGAGCGGGAUGGAGGGGGAGUUUGGGGUUCGUAGAUGCACCCGAGGACACAGAGGACAGCAACCAAGUCCUAGUGCACAGCACAGGGCAGCCUAUUCACCUGUGAUCAAGCAUUACGGAAAAGAAUACGAAAAAGAAUACCUAUGUAUAAAUGAGUCCCUUUGCUGUAUGCCUGAAACCAACUCAACACUGUAUGUCAACUCUACUUCAAUAAAAUAAAUUAAAAAAAAAAGAAGGUGGGGGUAUCUGGGGGUUGCCAUAGCAACACUGACUCCGCACACACCAUCUUCAGGGCACCAAGGCGUGUCGGACGCGCUGCUAGAAGGAAACCAAGAAGUCUGCUACCCUACCAUCUAGGAGAGACGGGUGAGUCUGGAACUAGUCAUACCAACCUGGUGAACCGGUCAGGCUCAACUAGUCCUGCUGAGUCUACUCAGGAGCCUGUCUUGUCUGCAUAACAGUCAGGGCUGAGGCCACCAGAUGGCUCCAGAGCUACAAUGAUGCUUAUAAUUCAUGAUAGGGGAAGGCCAGGAUUCAGCUCAAAACUCAUUCUUGGUCACAGACAGUAGUACUAAAACUGUGUAAGGUCCGAGUUCCCGUGGUGGCUCGGCAGAUUAGGAACCCAACAUGCCUCUGUGAGGAUGCAGGUUCAAUCCCUGGCCUCGCUCCGUGGGUGAAGGACCCAGCGUUGCCGUGAGCUGCGGUGUAGGUCGCAGAUGCAGCUUAGAUCUGACGUCGCUGCGGCUGCGGUGCAGGCCGGCAGCUGUCGCUUCCAUUCUGCCCCUGGCCUGGGAACUUCCAUAUGCCCCACGUGAGGCCCUAGAAAGCAUCUAUGUAUCUACGCACCCCCCCACAAAUGCCACGUCCUCAUCCAUGCCUCUGUCGAUGGACACGUAGCUGGCUUCCAUGUCUCGGCUCUUGUGAAGAGUGCUGCUAUGAACACUGAUUGGGGUGCCUGUGUCUUUUGGAACUGAAGUCCCAGGAGGGGGACUGCUGGAUGAUACGGUCCCCCUGGAUUUAGAAACACCUACAAACUUUUCGCCUGGCAGUAAAGA